UACAGAGGGGGCGAGCGUUAUUCGGGAUUAUUGGGCGUAAAGGGCGCGUAGGCGGCUGGGCAAGUCCAAGGUGAAAUCCCUCGGCUCAACCGAGGAACUGCCUUGGAAACUGCCCGGCUUGAGGCCGGGAGAGGGUAGUGGAAUUCCCAGUGUAGCGGUGAAAUGCGUAGAUAUUGGGAGGAACACCGGUGGCGAAGGCGGCUACCUGGACCGGUUCUGACGCUGAGGCGCGAAAGCGUGGGGAGCAAACAGG
Molecule: ribosomal RNA, 253 nt
Filed under: uncultured bacterium
Lineage: Bacteria
Description: partial 16S ribosomal RNA
Rfam family: Bacterial small subunit ribosomal RNA
Source: RNAcentral